Molecule: unclassified non-coding RNA, 255 nt
Filed under: Melitaea cinxia (Glanville fritillary)
Lineage: Eukaryota; Metazoa; Arthropoda; Insecta; Lepidoptera; Nymphalidae
Description: misc RNA ENSMCXG00005013758.1
Source: RNAcentral
CCAAGUACUUCACGAGCUAUUCCAGGAACAUCAUAUCAAAGUUCCUCUCUCCCAUCCGACGACAACACUCUAGCAGAGUUAGAGAGAAACAUUGUUACAAUGGAAAGGUCCCUUAAACUGAAACAAGAUACAAUAAUUGAUGUAGAAGAUGUGGAUGAUUCGCAAACUGGAAAAAUCAAGUCUGUCGGGAAACGCCUUCUUCGCGGGCUGUCUAUGAGCGCCUCAACCUCCAAGAGUCCCUCGCCCCAAUCGUCA